CUGUCGCGAAGCAGUUGCUGUGUGCGGGUGUGCGCCUUAGAGAUAAAUUUAUUACAAGGGAAGAACCUGAGAGGUUGGCCAGAGCCAGUGUGCAGUUUGUUGCAGGUAUCUUCUAGCUGCAGGCAUGGAGCAACAAACGGCAAGGGAGGCAAACCGAAUUGUUAAAAAUAGUCGAAACACCUGAAUUAUGCGUUCCAUGUGAAGUUAUGGCAGCUGCAACGCCUUGAUGGGCGUGGAGAGCUGAAAUACCCCUGCACCGAGCUAUCCCUGCACGUUCGGCCUGGAGCCUUCAGUGGCCGUACCCAUCAAACACAGGGCAAGCGUGCAUCAUGAUCAGACUGGCUCAAGGCGGUGAGUGUUCUUAAUUGAAGUGAAAGGUGUGGCUUAAACAGACACUCUGAUAUUUUACCUCCCAGACAGCAAAUGAUGCCGCCUGUGAGACCAUUCCAUUGUAACAGUACAUUGUACUUUUUUAUUUUGCUGUAUAAAGUUUGUUACUGUUGUCAA
Molecule: long non-coding RNA, 507 nt
Organism: Dermacentor silvarum
Lineage: Eukaryota; Metazoa; Arthropoda; Arachnida; Ixodida; Ixodidae
Exons: 3
Source: RefSeq, a predicted model, not a curated record